RNAcentral lists this transfer RNA (68 nucleotides) under Marmota monax (woodchuck). Its description in RNAcentral is "tRNA.Met". The stretch from base 7 to 63 matches the Rfam family "tRNA", at positions 8 to 63 of the family's 71-position model. From Rfam's summary of the family: Transfer RNA (tRNA) molecules are approximately 80 nucleotides in length. Their secondary structure includes four short double-helical elements and three loops (D, anti-codon, and T loops). Further hydrogen bonds mediate the characteristic L-shaped molecular structure. tRNAs have two regions of fundamental functional importance: the anti-codon, which is responsible for specific mRNA codon recognition, and the 3' end, to which the tRNAs corresponding amino acid is attached (by aminoacyl-tRNA synthetases). tRNAs cope with the degeneracy of the genetic code in two manners: having more than one tRNA (with a specific anti-codon) for a particular amino acid; and 'wobble' base-pairing, i.e. permitting non-standard base-pairing at the 3rd anti-codon position. The record is from RNAcentral. Lineage: Eukaryota; Metazoa; Chordata; Mammalia; Rodentia; Sciuridae.
GGAUUAUGGCUUAGUGGUAGAGCACUUGCCUCAUACACAUGAGGCACUGGGUUCGAUCCUCAGCACCA